This 3884-nucleotide ribosomal RNA is filed under the name Triticum aestivum (bread wheat). RNAcentral describes it as "partial small subunit ribosomal RNA". The record is from RNAcentral. Lineage: Eukaryota; Viridiplantae; Streptophyta; Magnoliopsida; Poales; Poaceae.
CCGCAUAGCCGUGUGGAAGUAAAAGGAGAGGCACGGGGGGUUAGGGUGGGUCACGCCGCGGCCGGGACUUCAUAGAGGGACGGGAUCGGUGUCGACGGCGGCGCGGCAGCAUCGAAUCGAGGUGACGGCUGCUUCGGAGGCGGGGGGUUCGUCGUGUGGGGGGCGGAGAGGGCGCGCAGCGGCGGCGUCGGCGGCGAGGGCAGGGCGGAGCAGCGCAGGGACGACGGGGUUGAGGCGGGCGCUAAAGCUCGUAACCAAGGACUCCAUACUGGUAGGGCAGGAGGUCGCCUCGCUACCCUUUCUUCCACUUCCGGUUCGGCUUCUUCCGCGUCGUCGCCCUCGGCGACCGGCUGCGACCUAGGCCGCUGCUCCGGAGCGUCCUGCAGCUCCUUCGCCGACGCAGCCGGCCGCUAACCCUCGUCACGCCGGUGAUGUCGGCACUGCCAGCGGUGAACCUGUUCCAGGAUGCCCUCUAGCACAGACGGUUCGUAGAGCGCAGCACACUCGUGACGGCCCUCCUCCGGGGGGCCUUCUUUCCGCCGCCCCCACCGUUCCUCUUUCCGCCAUUCGUCGUCUUCUUCUUUCCGCGACGACGGUUCUGCGUCCGGUUCCGCCUCUUCUUGCUACUAAAUACCCAGACGAACCUGACGCCGGCCGUGAAGACGCCGCCACGGCACAGUCUAUGCUUCGGUAUGCCGGUACGGUCUUCCGUACGGUUCGUCCUGGCUGUGACCACCCGACGUGCCAUACUAUUUGGUUGACAGCGCAUAACGAACAGUACGCUUGUACUCCACAGGUAGCUCAACGGACAUCAUCUCUGUCAACAUCGUCGCGGUCGGCAGCUCUUCCACCAAGAACCACGUCACCUAUCGUUACGUAACCAAAACCGAUUAUCGGUACCAUUACACUAAUUUCCCGACGGUUUAGAACCUUUAUGUACAAAGAAGUUACGUCACGACGUCUCGGAGGAUCGCGAACUAUUCAAGGCGUCGUUCUACGAUCCUGGUCUACAAGGUUGUCCUCGGUAACGAUACAGUGACUUCUUCGAGAAACACCUUUGUUCACGAAGCUUACUACGUCCUCCACGUGACUCGGGUUUCUCGGAAAAGAGUUCGUAAACGAGUUUUAUGGGAGUCAAGUUUCCGAUGGUCUACGUCCUGUCGGUACUUAACGAGGCGACAAAAGAACUACCAAAUCCGUGCCUCCUUUGACUUCGCGCCUUCCGUCGCCUCCUACGAAGGUCGCGACGACCCCAAGGAUGUUAACAACUGAGGUAGAAACCCCCAGUCGACAGAUCAUGACACAGGUCGUGUCUUACGUGUGUGCCUAGACAAUUCGUACUGGUUAAGGAACUAGAGAGUGAUGGUCAAGGUAGUUCCUUUGGAGGUCGGUUCUCACAAAGUAGUGGUGGUCGUUUCUCCUGGUUCGUCAGGUAUGCUCUAUCCUUGUUUUUAGCGUCUAUACCUUUCCAACGAUGGGCUCACAGAGGACGUUAUCGCCUCUCGUCGUUUCUUGUUCAUGUUUGUCAACGACUUCCGUUACUAAGGGUCUAAGGUCCAAGUCUUAACCCUGUCCAACAGUCACUCUUUCUUGUACUCGGGAGACUCACGUCACUCAGUACACGAAGACAAGGGUUGGUUCUUGACUUCCGGCGAAGUUUACACCUCCGACUGUAAAGGACCAAUCUAAUAGAACGACUACGUCUACUUUGUUUCAGACUCUAAGAACUAAGGCGUACAAGCUGGCCUCGUCCUGUCUAGACCUUGUCGUUGCUACGGCGGUAUGUACCAAGUAAAGUGUCACCUCUACUACGGAACGGGUUUCUCGUCCGGAACUAAAGACUCGUGAGUCCACUCUUGUAACAACUACUACGUUGAACAAAUGUCUGACACUAGAACGAAGGAAUGUUUCUUAAACUGUGGUGACGACUUCUUUAUAUACUUUGACGUCUUUCGAGUGUCUUAGGUUAUCAAAAACCAGGAGUAGGUCGACUAAUAGAUCGUCGUCUUUUAGUGCGUGUCGGCAAUAUACCGCCUCUACCACUCGUUCUACUGACAAAACCAUAGCCACUAUACAAACCACUCGGACUUCAUUGAAGACUACGAUUCUUUCUUUGACCUUGUUGACCUCUAUAACUACACUACCGAACCUCAUCGUUAUCACGACUACUACUUCACCUACUAUCAUUACGAGGGCAUAGUCAGCUCCCGACGAACAGUAACAUAUGACUCGGUCUCGACGAUAGCCUUAGAACCGUAACACUCUUAACAAGGUAGGGACAACGUGUCGGUUUGUGGUUACUUAAUUUUCUCCCACUCCUCUGCCGUCGAUCACGGUUACUGUCUUUCCUGUCACGCCUCUACUACCGUUCACCACUACUUUUUGUUCUACUACUAUUCCAGGGCUCGACGUCGUUUUUCCUCCUGUAACUAGUCUAAUACCGUUGACUACCAACGAGACAGUUACAUUUAGGACUGUACACGACAUUGCUUCCACACACACGUUUAGGAGGAAACCAACUACGACUUUUGUGGAGACUACCAUUAAGAGGUCUGUAACUGUGAUGACUUGUCGGUCUGUCAUUUUGUAUGGUGGUCCUCACAUCCUUAAACUUGUCGAGUCGUCACCUUAAAUGUAGAAGGUCAUUCGUCGGCGUACUGAAACGCGCCGUAUUGCUACCAGUAUUACACCUACAUCGGCGACUUCUUUGUUCACGCGGUCACUCAACACCACUAUUACUGGGACGGAGAACGUCAUGAUGAUCGCUGUUUUUCCAACUUAGACCACCACGGUUACGACUUCUUCAACACUGAUCAUCGGAAGGUGGACUCUGCGUUUCGUAGAAUGGCUCGCGGUUUCUAUUACUUCUACCGAAGUGUUCCUUAUGGCCUUCCUCCUUCUCUUACUUCUACCAACAGUUCCAUGUGUUUCCUGUUCUAUUGGUUUUAUUUGUCUUUCUCCUACUUUGUUUCCAAAAGUCUCGACGUUACUCUUCUUAAGAAUAGUCGUUCCGUGGUGGACAUAACUGCUAAUGAAACUUGUCUAAGUCGGUGCUGAGAGUACCAGCCAAGUCCUUUGACUUUCCCGUACACGCGAAAUUCCUCUGUGAACUAUAUGCUGGCAUGUACCUGGGUUCUAGCUUCCUAUUACUGUAGUGGUGAAUAGCCGACCAUCGACAGCAGCUCGUGUACCCUUCGUACUGUCCUCCCGUAAUACAGCGUAUACAUUCUAGACCGUUCUAUCCCCCAGCCGUCGUCGUCUCGGCGAGGAGGUUCAGAACCAAAAUGCGCUCGCUAAGUGUGCAGUCUCUUUGGAGAGACCUCCUCCAAGAGUUGACGCUCCGAAUGUAGGAAAAGAUGCUCUCCCAUCGGCUCAUUCUGUUAUAUACAGACCACUGGAUGAGUACCUAGUCACUCAUCAAUCCCUGUUCUACUUACAGCUCGUUCUCCACUGUUUGUUGUAAAAAACCCUAUGACGAUACUGACAGAGUCAACCCCUCUCAAGAAAAAAUGUUCACCUGAACCUGUCGGUUAGCCAAGUACGACGAAUGUCACCCAGUAAGAAACCCAAAAGGAAAAGACCUCUCGUGUCCACCUGCCCACCUUUAACAGACUUUAGCCGUUUGCCAAGCAAGUCUAGAGAUGUUCCAGUAGCAACUCGCAGGAGCCAACAUAACCAAAUCUCACUUAGUCAGUCAGUAUCUGUCGGACCAUGUACAAAAACUAUAUACACUCACGCGGGGAUUUAAAACGCACUACCCCCGCAUAUAUAUGUUAUAUAACAUUGUACAUCGAGGUAGAACUCCAUCUUUACUGUACAAUAAAUAAUGGUACAUAAUGAUCUAACAUGGUACGGUGCUUUUAGUUUGGACCUUCAAAGUUCUC